RNAcentral lists this ribosomal RNA (468 nucleotides) under Rhodoferax sp. RNAcentral describes it as "bacterial SSU rRNA". It matches the Rfam family "Bacterial small subunit ribosomal RNA", at positions 391 to 852 of the family's 1533-position model. The record is from RNAcentral. Lineage: Bacteria; Pseudomonadati; Pseudomonadota; Betaproteobacteria; Burkholderiales; Comamonadaceae.
GCAAUGCCGCGUGCAGGAUGAAGGCCUUCGGGUUGUAAACUGCUUUUGUACGGAACGAAACGGUGAGCUCUAAUACAGUUUGCUAAUGACGGUACCGUAAGAAUAAGCACCGGCUAACUACGUGCCAGCAGCCGCGGUAAUACGUAGGGUGCGAGCGUUAAUCGGAAUUACUGGGCGUAAAGCGUGCGCAGGCGGUUAUAUAAGACAGAUGUGAAAUCCCCGGGCUCAACCUGGGACCUGCAUUUGUGACUGUAUAGCUAGAGUACGGUAGAGGGGGAUGGAAUUCCGCGUGUAGCAGUGAAAUGCGUAGAUAUGCGGAGGAACACCGAUGGCGAAGGCAAUCCCCUGGACCUGUACUGACGCUCAUGCACGAAAGCGUGGGGAGCAAACAGGAUUAAAUACCCUGGUAGUCCACGCCCUAAACGAUGUCAACUGGUUGUUGGGUCUUCACUGACUCACUAACGAAGC